GCUCAGGUGGUGGAAUCGGCAGACACGCCAGACUUAGGAUCUGGUGCCGCAAGGCAUGAGGGUUCAAAUCCCUCUCUGAGCACCA
This 85-nucleotide transfer RNA is filed under the name Puniceicoccales bacterium. RNAcentral describes it as "tRNA-Leu". It matches the Rfam family "tRNA". From Rfam's summary of the family: Transfer RNA (tRNA) molecules are approximately 80 nucleotides in length. Their secondary structure includes four short double-helical elements and three loops (D, anti-codon, and T loops). Further hydrogen bonds mediate the characteristic L-shaped molecular structure. tRNAs have two regions of fundamental functional importance: the anti-codon, which is responsible for specific mRNA codon recognition, and the 3' end, to which the tRNAs corresponding amino acid is attached (by aminoacyl-tRNA synthetases). tRNAs cope with the degeneracy of the genetic code in two manners: having more than one tRNA (with a specific anti-codon) for a particular amino acid; and 'wobble' base-pairing, i.e. permitting non-standard base-pairing at the 3rd anti-codon position. The record is from RNAcentral. Lineage: Bacteria; Pseudomonadati; Verrucomicrobiota; Opitutia; Puniceicoccales.